RNA transcript from Poeciliopsis prolifica (blackstripe livebearer), 3808 nucleotides. It is a transcript of the gene named zinc finger, CCHC domain containing 2, with no coding region annotated. The record is from RefSeq and is a predicted model, not a curated record. Lineage: Eukaryota; Metazoa; Chordata; Actinopteri; Cyprinodontiformes; Poeciliidae. The transcript is spliced from 15 exons.
CAACCCUUGGAAAAAAAGGACUGAGUGCUGUGGCAGUGUCUGAUGAUUAGCUAACAGAAAAUACAUAGUCGUGUUAGUGUUACUAAACGGUGAUAUUGCUCUAUAAUGCAUAUGGUUAUUUUGUUUACACUCUGAAGACUCUCCUUUAUCGCUGAUAAUGAUAACAAUGAAGCUACCGAUGAAAACUGGCGAGAAAGGAGGCGACGAGACGGCGGAGGACGAUUCGUUGGAUCCAUCCGAGAGGCAGCAUAUCCCCAGGGCGGCAUCUUCUCCUUCGGUGUACGAGAGGCUGCAGGAGCCGCCGAGACCCCGCGUCUACGCAUCGCUUCUGGACAGAGAGAGUGUGUUUGAGUGGUUCGGCCACCAUCUGAACCCCGCCAAGCGGAUCGAGUUUAUGUGCGGGCUACUGCAUAUGUGCCAACCCCUGGAGCUCCGCUUUCUUGGAUCAUACCUGGAGGACCUCGCUAGAAAAGAUUACCACAUUUUACGGGACUUUGAGUGCAGGGCGAACAACCCGAACGAUCUGGGAGUUUUAACGGACGUGGUCGACCCGGUGAUUCGGUCCAAACUCAUCGUCUGCCUGUCGCUGCUCGGUUCUGACAGGAGGGAAUGUGCUGGAAUACUCUCUCGGAUACUCAGCAGCGUGGACUUGGCCUUGUCGUAUAGGAACUAUGACUACUCCCUGCCUCCUUUCAGGGACCCUCAGCAUCACCUCCACCCGUUCUAUCCACCGUGCCAGGACGGUUCUGUGUGUGAGCAGAACCGGGACGAAGCAACGGCAGGGGCUCUGGAGCAGUUGGCGCUGCUCUAUACCAUGGCCUCACUACACCCAGCUUUACAUUUUCACCAACGGGAAGUUAUCCGGGGACAACUGGACAAAAUCGAGCUUUCCUUGGAGGAGGAAAAACGACAGAGGCAGCUCAGGAUAAACGCCCAGUCGACGGAGAUGCUGGGCCAGCAGCUGGACUUCACGCCCUCCUCAGUGCAGGACUUUGGAGAGUGUCCAGCCUCCCAUCCCCCCUGCCAGAGCCGGCGCUCUGGUCGCUGGGCAACACAGAGAGAAGCCGUUCACAUCGAGAGGAUCGUACUCAGGGGGAUCUCUCGGACGGCAACAGAUAAGGAAUACAGCUUUGAGGUGAAGUGGUCAGACUCUUCCUCCAGCAGAGUCACCAAAACCCACCAGGAACUGGAGAACUUUCUGCUGAAGCUUCCAAAGGAUCAGUGCACGGACUCUUUUGAGAAAAGCAUCCUGAGGCUCCUGAGCCAGGGGGACCAGUACGAGAGCAGGGAGGUGGAGAAGAACCUCAGGGAAAGGUUUCUGUCUGCCCCGCCUCCCUUCAGGCAGACCAGGAAGGUCUGCAGCUUCUUCAGCUCCUCCAGACCGGCCUGCAGAUGUACCUUACAUCCUGGGACGACGUACCAGCCAGACUGCUCUGACGCCUCCAGUCAGGAUGAAGACUCGUAUGUUCAGGGACACAAGAAGAAACACGCGUCCAAGAGUCCAUGUCAGCUAUUGUCACGGGCCAAAAGCCCCCAGGGGGACACAUGGAGAGGGGGCCAUGCAGCAGAGUUCAACGGGCCAGCAGACAGAAGGAAGAAGAGCAGCGUGGCGCGGAGCAGCCAGGACACUGAGCAGCACCUGGAUCCUGACAGAAGGAGCCACCCAGCAUCUAAAAGCAAGAGCAGAUUUUUGCCCGGAGACAGGGACAAGGUGACUGUGAAGGGUAGAGGCGCUGCCUUUCUGACUAAUGGCACUUUGUUACCAGCCCUGUCACCUCAGAGGAAAGUCGGACCUUCUCAUGCAGAUACAUUUGGGGAAACGUCGUCCGAGAGCUGCAGCUCUCCCUCCAGCCCCCAGUACAGGAGUCGCCAGAGUCUGGAGAGUGACGACGACAACAAAGACUCGGACAGCCACUCUGAGGACGGCAGUAAGGGCGUGGCCCCUGGCCUGUUCUUCAUGCAGCAGGCAGACUCCGCCAGGUUGGCAGACGGCCCUCCCCAGGGCCCAGACUUCGUCUCAUCCCCUUACCUGCCCCCUCUGGCCUGCUUGCUCCCCAAUGGGGGCCCUGAGCCCGUGGCCCCAGAUGGGAACCCCCAUGCAGCAGGGCCACUGUCGGUGGUCCCCACCCCAGGGAUUGUGGGUGAUCCGGAGAAGAGGGAGGUGCUGACGACCUUCGGGGGCCCCCCACUAGCCAUGCACCACUCAGUGGGUGGGGCGGUCCAGCCUCUGGUCCAGAGGUUUAAGACAGCACUGCCCCACAGCCAAGGGCCCGGUGAGGGGGAGGCCCCUCUCAGAGCGCUGGGGUCAAUGUCACCAGGGCCACCUGUGUACUCACCCCCCUCCCUGCCCUGCCAGGAUCCCAGCCUGGCCCCACCCCUGCCCCACAUAGAGCCACCCCACCCCAAGCUGCAUGGUAUCCUGCCCUCUGGGAUGCCCUCUCCCUACGCCCUGGCCCCUGUGCCCCCCUCUGUUAUGCCUAGCCUAGGGGCCCCUGGAGUGGCGGUUCCUUCGGCCGUCCCCUCUAAUUCCCCCGGGCCCCCGCCCAGCCUCAGCCCGGCGCUCGGCCUCAGCACGCCACAGAACGAUUCCUACAGCAACAGCAGUGCUUCCUGUGGAAGCGGUCCCGUUGCCCCUGGCAACCCCGUAGCUGUCCAGCAAACCCAGCAGCAGAUGCCCCCGCAGCAGCAGAUGCCCCCGCAGCAGCAGAUGCCCCCGCAGCAGCAGAUGCCCCCGCAGCAGCAGACGCCCCCUGUGGGAUGUGGGACCUGCGGUUGCCAUAACAACUGUGGUAACCGAGGCAGCAGCAGUGCGGUGGGCUCCUCUGGCUGCCAGCCGCCCCUUUACUUCCACCACCAGAUGGCAGCAGUAGCGAGGCAAAUGUUCAGUGUUCCUCAGUCUCUCCUCUACCUCGCCCAGACCCAGGCCCCCCACCAGGCCAACGGCCCCCCCACAAUGCCCCCCUUCUUCCCUGCCGCCCCACCCCCUGUCCACCCGUCCCCCUACCUGCACCCCCACAGCCAGGCGGAGGGCCCGUCCCACAUGAUGGGCAGCCAGGCCCCGGUGGCAGUGGCGGCCACCAACUACAGCCUCCAGCAGCAGAUGGCGCCAGCGGCAUCGUUCUCUCAGCGUGUCUUCCAGCCGGUCUACCCGGGUCACCUGGGGAUGCUGCCUGCUGCCGUGCUGGGGGGCGGCGGGGUCAACAAGAAGAACGGCACAGUGUCCUGCCACAACUGUGGAGUGAACGGACACUUUGCUCAGGACUGCAACCAGCCCAGCAUGGACUCCAGCCAGCCGGGAGGCUUCAGGAUAAAGUAUGCAGCAUCCAACAUUUCAGAAGCACCUGAUAAUGUCGACUGAAGACGAAGCACGACGAUGACGAGUUCCUCCUGUCGUCAUGACUACGACAGGCGUUUCAUCUGCCAGAACAGUGGCAGGUUAUUACAGACUUUUUACCUCUGGACGAGAUUUCUGUCAGAAUCCUCACAGCAUGACGACGUCACUGGAAGACGAGAAGCAGCCGCGCGAUCCGAGGAGCCGAAUGUACCGACAGAACGGAGAACUCGCCUCCGGAUGAAACGUCUGCAUGCUGGGCAAGAUCUCUUAAUACGUCGAGUGUUUUUAUUUUUUAAGAAGAGGAGCCUUCUGAUCAAAUUAGCACACUGAGAGGGAACACCAGACUCUUUAGUCCCAGGAUGGAAUCUAAUCUUAACUUCUUGUACUUUAUUUUUUUUUUUCAUAUGUACACCAGUCUUGUUAACUGACACUUGAUUACAUAUUUGUUGAUAAACUUGAAAGUUCUUCAAAGCC